This 468-nucleotide ribosomal RNA is filed under the name uncultured bacterium. RNAcentral's name for it is "partial 16S ribosomal RNA". It matches the Rfam family "Bacterial small subunit ribosomal RNA", at positions 28 to 507 of the family's 1533-position model. The record is from RNAcentral.
GACGAACGCUGGCGGCGUGCUUAACACAUGCAAGUCGAACGGAAAGGCCCUGCUUUUGUGGGGUGCUCGAGUGGCGAACGGGUGAGUAACACGUGAGUAACCUGCCCUUGACUUUGGGAUAACUUCAGGAAACUGGGGCUAAUACCGGAUAGGAGCUCCUGCUGCAUGGUGGGGGUUGGAAAGUUUCGGCGGUUGGGGAUGGACUCGCGGCUUAUCAGCUUGUUGGUGGGGUAGUGGCUUACCAAGGCUUUGACGGGUAGCCGGCCUGAGAGGGUGAACGGGCACAUUGGGACUGAGAUACGGCCCAGACUCCUACGGGAGGCAGCAGUGGGGAAUAUUGCACAGUGGGCGGAAGCCUGAUGCAGCAACGCCGGGUGCGGGAUGACGGCCUUCGGGUUGUAAACCGCAGUCGCCUGUGACGAAGCGUGAGUGACGGUAAUGGGUAAAGAAGCACCGGCUAACUACGUG